AGAUCCAGAGCUGCUGAGAACAGCUGCAGAUGACUGACUCAGUGUGUUUGCAUAUGUGUGCUGCCUCUCUGCUUCCAGCAGUUAAGAGCUCAGUGUUGAUCAGUGGCUGUCCAGACCUUUCAGAGACACUGACACACCUGCAGCACAAUGAGGAUGUCACUGACUCUGCUGCUGGCUGUCCUGGAGCUCCUUGUUCAGGGUUCUUCAGGUGAAAUCUCUGUGACUCAGACUCCUGGAUCUCAGUCUGUUGUUCCAGGACAAACUGUCUCCAUUAGAUGUAGAACCAGUUCAAGUGUUAGUAACUAUCUCCACUGGUACCUUCAGAAAUCUGGAGAAGCUCCUAAACUCCUGAUUUAUAAAGCAACAAAUCGUCAUUCUGGAGUUUCUGAUCGUUUUAGUGGAAGUGGAUCUGGCAGUGAUUUUACUCUGACCAUCAGUGGAGUUCAGGCUGAAGAUUCAGGAGUUUAUUACUGUCAGCAGAGUUACAGCGAUCCACUCACACAGUGAAACAACGUCGUACAAAAACCUCUUUCAGCUAAAGAGGAACUGAUCUGAAUGAACAUCUGCACUGAAGCUGAAAAACUAAAGUUUUGGUUCCAACAUUUUAGCUUAUUCCCUUUUUUUUAAUGUAAAAUGUCUUGUCUAACAGUUAAAACAGUCUGUCAGCUUUUCAAAAUUAUUAAUUUCUUCUUCUAAAUAAAAUAAACAAUUGUCAAUAUUAACACACUUUUUAAAUAGAGAAACUUUAGACCUUCUACCAUCAUCAAAUCUACCAGGAAGGGAAAAUGUCAUAAAAGUUGGUGUGUGAACAACUGAAGGAGUUUCUAGAAUCAAACAGUAUUUUGUCUGAUUUUUGUCUGGUUUUAGAAAACAGUAUAGAACUGUUAC
Oryzias melastigma (Indian medaka) is the source of this 888-nucleotide non-coding RNA. The record is from the annotation of a RefSeq genome assembly. NCBI's taxonomy places the organism in Eukaryota, Metazoa, Chordata, Actinopteri, Beloniformes, Adrianichthyidae.